GACGAACGCUGGCGGCGUGCCUAAUACAUGCAAGUAGAACGCACAGUUUAUACCGUAGCUUGCUACACCAUAAACUGUGAGUUGCGAACGGGUGAGUAACGCGUAGGUAACCUGCCUGGUAGCGGGGGAUAACUAUUUGAAACGAUAGCUAAUACCGCAUAAUAUUGAUUAUUGCAUGAUAAUUGAUUGAACGAUGCUAUUGCAUCACUACCAGAUGGACCUGCGUUGUAUUAGCUAGUAGGUGAGGUAACGGCUCACCUAGGCGACGAUACAUAGCCGACCUGGGAGGGGGAUCGGCCAACCUGGGACUGGAAAAAGGCCCAGACUCCUACGGGAGGGAGCAGUAGGGAAACUUCGGAAAUGGACGAAAGUCUGACCGAGCAAAGCCGGGUGAGUGAAGAAGGUUUUCGGAUCGUAAAGCUCUGUUGUAAGAGAAGAACGGGUGUGAGAGUGGAAAGUUCACAGUGUGACGGUAUCUUACCAGAAAGGGACGGCUAACUACGUG
RNAcentral lists this ribosomal RNA (505 nucleotides) under uncultured bacterium. RNAcentral describes it as "partial 16S ribosomal RNA". It matches the Rfam family "Bacterial small subunit ribosomal RNA", at positions 28 to 507 of the family's 1533-position model. The record is from RNAcentral.